This 995-nucleotide unclassified non-coding RNA is filed under the name uncultured fungus. Its description in RNAcentral is "sequence contains 18S rRNA gene, ITS1, 5.8S rRNA gene, ITS2, 28S rRNA gene". Lineage: Eukaryota; Fungi. The record is from RNAcentral.
ACCCCGCCGUCGCCGAAUGCUCGGUGGUCGGCCGCCCGCACCCGGAGUGGGGCGAGGAGGUGGUGGCCUUCGUCGUGCCGCGUCCCGGCGCCUCGCCGACGGCCGCCGAGCUCGACAAGCUCUGCCUCGACAACAUCGCCCGCUUCAAGCGCCCGAAGGACUACAAGUUCAUCGACGCGCUGCCCAAGAACAACUACGGCAAGAUCCUGAAGACCGAGCUGCGGACCAGGCUGUGACGAUUCCCUUGUGAGCUUUCGCUCCCCCGUCUUCGGGGGAGCUGUCGGCGUCUUCGCCGACUGAGGGGUCAUGAGCACCAGUCAUGUUACUCAUGACCCCCUCAGUCGCGGACUACCGCGACAGCUCCCCCGAAGACGGCCGAAGACGGGGGAGGUGAAGAAGGGCGCCCUACGACCCCUCGCCGGAGCGCUCCUCGGUGACGGGAUGGACCUCCUCGAGGCGGUCGGCGGCGUUGAACAGCAGCUCGAGGUGCUUCAGCGUCCGCUGCCCGCGCUUCGGACCGACGGUCACGUAUUCGUAGACGUACUGGCGCGUACCGCGCCGCGCCACGUGCGGAUAGAUGCCUUCGCCGCUGGGCGGCCCGAAAUGGUUCAGGACAUCGGUCCGGGUGGUCCUGCCUCGCGUCAGGGCGGAGACGCGCGUCUCGUCGAAGUUGGUGGCGUCCUCCGGGAAGCUGCUUGUGAAGUGGUAGAAAACCAGCCGUUCGUUCCAGAAGGCGAGCUUCAGCAAGCGCAGCCCGCCGAUCGUCCGGUCGGGGAGCACGAUCAUCGUGGCGUAUGUGUAGGCGUAGCGCAGCUGCUCGAAGUCGCCGGGCGCCGUCGCCCGCUUGAGCAACGCCGGGCGCGGCUUCAGCUCGUCGAACACGGUGACCGUCUCGACGUUGGCGGACUCGGUCCAGCGUUCGGUCGGCUCGCCGAAAGCGGCAACCGCUUCGGCGAGAGUCGUCUGUCCGAGCACGAGCGAAGCCGAGCCCCGGU